AUCACUUCUCAGCCUUUUGGCUAAGAUCAAGUAUAGUAUCUGUUCUUAUCAAUUUACUAUCUGACACGUUCUCUACUCAAGGACAAUAUAUUACAUGGACUUUUUGAGCAGGAAGAUGGAAUAGGAGCUUUCUCCAUCCAUCUUGGUGCAUCGGUCCGGUAUUGCAGUAAAAAGAAAAAAAGUCACCACUUUGCAAAUGGGGAAACAGAG
Myotis lucifugus (little brown bat) is the source of this 210-nucleotide small nuclear RNA. Its record names the gene U2. It matches the Rfam family "U2 spliceosomal RNA". From Rfam's summary of the family: U2 is a small nuclear RNA (snRNA) component of the spliceosome (involved in pre-mRNA splicing). Complementary binding between U2 snRNA (in an area lying towards the 5' end but 3' to hairpin I) and the branchpoint sequence (BPS) of the intron results the bulging out of an unpaired adenosine, on the BPS, which initiates a nucleophilic attack at the intronic 5' splice site, thus starting the first of two transesterification reactions that mediate splicing. NCBI's taxonomy places the organism in Eukaryota, Metazoa, Chordata, Mammalia, Chiroptera, Vespertilionidae. The record is from Ensembl.